CGAGCGGUAGCACAGGGGAGCUUGCUCCCUGGGUGACGAGCGGCGGACGGGUGAGUAAUGUCUGGGAAACUGCCUGAUGGAGGGGGAUAACUACUGGAAACGAUAGCUAAUACCGCAUAACGUCGCAAGACCAAAGAGGGGGACCUUCGGGCCUCUUGCCAUCAGAUGUGCCCAGAUGGGAUUAGCUAGUAGGUGGGGUAAUGGCUCACCUAGGCGACGAUCCCUAGCUGGUCUGAGAGGAUGACCAGCCACACUGGAACUGAGACACGGUCCAGACUCCUACGGGAGGCAGCAGUGGGGAAUAUUGCACAAUGGGCGCAAGCCUGAUGCAGCCAUGCCGCGUGUGUGAAGAAGGCCUUCGGGUUGUAAAGCACUUUCAGCGAGGAGGAAGGUGGUGAACUUAAUACGUUCAUCAAUUGACGUUACUCGCAGAAGAAGCACCGGCUAACUCCGUGCCAGCAGCCGCGGUAAUACGGAGGGUGCAAGCGUU
Molecule: ribosomal RNA, 490 nt
Filed under: uncultured bacterium
Lineage: Bacteria
Description: bacterial SSU rRNA
Rfam family: Bacterial small subunit ribosomal RNA
Source: RNAcentral